UAAGUACUCCCUCCGUCCCGAAUUAGUUGUCUUAGAUUUGUCUAGAUACGGAUGUAUCAAGACACAUUUUAGUGUUAGAUACAUCCGUAUCUAGACAAUCUAAGACAACUAAUUUGGGACGGAGGUGUUAGUUA
Molecule: non-coding RNA, 134 nt
Organism: Triticum aestivum (bread wheat)
Lineage: Eukaryota; Viridiplantae; Streptophyta; Magnoliopsida; Poales; Poaceae
Source: Rfam